AUUCUGCCCAUGCGGGGAAGGAUGAGAAGCUUCGACCAAGGUUCGACUCGAGCGCCAGCGAGAGAGCGUUGCCGCAGGCAACGACCCGAAGGGCGAAGCGCGCAGCGCUGAGUAAUCCUUCCCCCACCACAU
Molecule: small RNA, 132 nt
Filed under: Escherichia coli
Lineage: Bacteria; Pseudomonadati; Pseudomonadota; Gammaproteobacteria; Enterobacterales; Enterobacteriaceae
Description: RtT sRNA
Rfam family: RtT RNA
About the family: This family represents a bacterial cis-regulatory element known as RtT RNA. The exact function of RtT is unknown although it is thought that it may be involved in changing the cellular response in relation to amino acid starvation.
Source: RNAcentral